GCAAGUAAGAGCAGGAAAAGAACGUUUUUGUCAUAUGCUUCUUUAUUUUUGCCUUCAUUAUUGGAAAUGGAGUGAAAGCUUACAUGUAAGAAUACCCAGUAGUAUGCGGAUCACCUUUAACUGUUGUGGUGUGAAAGAAAUUGAAAUGAAAUGUACAUCCUCAGACUCUGCUGUACAUUUCAUUAUGGACUCUCCGACUUCAAACAAUUCUUUUUGUUAAUUUGUAAAGGAAGAUGAAAAAACCUGAUGCUCCUCAAAAUGAAACUGUUAAUUUCAUUUGAGAGACAGUGCAAAGGGAUCUCCAGUGCAAUUCAGAGGUGUCACUUUCCUUUCUUGUCAGGACUGGAAUCACACAAUAUUUAUUUUUGACAUUCAAGAUCUGAAAUCUAAGUGGAAUCCAAAUCUACGUAAGAGUAAUAGCAACAAUACCCAUAUUGUUAUGUUUCUAGUAAAUGAACAGAGCAGAAGGAAACAGAGACUCUUCAGUUUAUGAAAGCACCGGUCUAAUAAAUGCACAGUUGCAAAAAUGACUAACACUUAAAUCCUGCUCCGUUCAACUGAGUUAAGUGCAUCAAUAUUCAAGCAUAUGGCUGAUUUUGCAGAAUUGCUGUAUGAAGUCAGGCAAUGAGCACGUUGUGGUGGAAUGCCUGACUCACAUAGGCAUAACAUUAGACAACAUUAAAAUUCCUUGUGCGUCCGUACUGGAAAACUUCUGGUGAAAAUAAUGAGUACUUUAUGUGACCUAUUUUAUGAAGAUAAUAGAUUUCUUCGGUUUCCCUUAUGUUUCACCAGAAUGGAAAAAUGUACUGUACCAGGAUUAUUUUUAAAAUGUAAUGAACCCGCCAGGACCCACUACAUUUUUAAGAAGCCAAGAAUGAAGAAGUACAACUUGCCUGCAGAACGAAAGCAAGUCAAUGUCUAGCCAAGAAUCUUCUGGAUGAGAAAUGUGUCUAGAUAUCACAGUUAAAAAUCUCUACUUUCCUUUAAAAUUUCCAUGGGCUUUUUAAUGAGCAUUAUAUCAAGACUUUGGAACAUACUAUUUCCAGCUGCAGAAUGACCCCUUGAACCAUGAUGGAAUUCAAGUUCACAGCUUACUGGAGGGAAAAAAUUCAACCACUGAACUAUGAGCACAAAUACCUGAAGCCGUUUAACUCUUCAUCUUUUAUUUUCCUAUACGGAUUCAGAUUUUGUCUGACACACUACUUCGCUUGUGAGAUCUGAAGUCACCACAAUGAGAGGCCAAACGAAUAUAAUUUUUCUGUUUCUUGCUGGAUCUGCAGUUCCCAUUAGCAGCACAUCAGUUCUUGUGCACUCAGCAAGUCAAAAAUAGACACUUUUUAUUUCAUGUUCAAUCAAUAAUAUUAUGGAUUGACUUCUCUGUUGAAAUAUUUAUGGAGAAAAUCCAGCCGCCUACCUAUUAAUGAGAACCACUUUCAUUAUUUGUAUUUGCAGCUUCUGAUUAAUGUCAGACAAAUUGAAUUACUGUGUGAAAAUGGUUUUGAUUAAAGCAAAAUUAAAAAUCUAAACAGUUUACAGCAGUGGAUUUUUAUUUCAUUUCCUAAUGUGUACCUUACCUAGAUAC
Long non-coding RNA from Chroicocephalus ridibundus (black-headed gull), 1582 nucleotides. RefSeq lists it as uncharacterized. The transcript is spliced from 8 exons. NCBI's taxonomy places the organism in Eukaryota, Metazoa, Chordata, Aves, Charadriiformes, Laridae. The record is from RefSeq and is a predicted model, not a curated record.